UAAUAGAAGAAGGGGAGGUCGUGAAUUUCGGCCUGAGAGUUCUGCGUGCUAAGCAGAUGACCCAAUGAACCUGAUCUGGAUAAUGCCAGCGUAGGAAGAAGAUUUUUAACCCUU
Molecule: non-coding RNA, 114 nt
Filed under: Candidatus Omnitrophota bacterium
Lineage: Bacteria; Pseudomonadati; Candidatus Omnitrophota
Description: Omnitrophica WOR TPP sequence
Rfam family: TPP riboswitch aptamer (THI element)
About the family: Vitamin B(1) in its active form thiamin pyrophosphate (TPP) is an essential coenzyme that is synthesised by coupling of pyrimidine and thiazole moieties in bacteria. The previously detected thiamin-regulatory element, thi box was extended, resulting in a new, highly conserved RNA secondary structure, the THI element, which is widely distributed in eubacteria and also occurs in some archaea.
Source: RNAcentral